This 497-nucleotide ribosomal RNA is filed under the name uncultured bacterium. RNAcentral's name for it is "partial 16S ribosomal RNA". It matches the Rfam family "Bacterial small subunit ribosomal RNA", at positions 28 to 507 of the family's 1533-position model. The record is from RNAcentral.
GACGAACGCUGGCGGCGUGCCUAAUACAUGCAAGUUGAGCGCUGAAGGUUGGUACUUGUACCAACUGGAUGAGCAGCGAACGGGUGAGUAACGCGUGGGGAAUCUGCCUUUGAGCGGGGGACAACAUUUGGAAACGAAUGCUAAUACCGCAUAAAAACUUUAAACACAAGUUUUAAGUUUGAAAGAUGCAAUUGCAUCACUCAAAGAUGAUCCCGCGUUGUAUUAGCUAGUUGGUGAGGUAAAGGCUCACCAAGGCGAUGAUACAUAGCCGACCUGAGAGGGUGAUCGGCCACAUUGGGACUGAGACACGGCCCAAACUCCUACGAGAGGCAGCAAUAGGGAAUCUUCGGCAAUGGACGAAAGUCUGACCGAGCAACGCCGCGUGAGUGAAGAAGGGUUUCGGAUCGUAAAACUCUGUUGGUAGAGAAGAACGUUGGUGAGAGUGGAAAGCUCAUCAAGUGACGGUAACUACCCAGAAAGGGACGGCUAGCUACGUG